Molecule: non-coding RNA, 79 nt
Organism: Gymnothorax javanicus (giant moray)
Lineage: Eukaryota; Metazoa; Chordata; Actinopteri; Anguilliformes; Muraenidae
Source: the annotation of a GenBank genome assembly
UGCCCGAUAGCUCACUCGGUUAAGGCACUGCGUUGCAGUGCAGAAGUGACCGUCGCGGGUUCGAGCCCCGGUCGUACCA